GCGGUGGUAGCGUAGUGGUUAAGGAGCUGGGCUAGUGCCUGAAAGUUGCGGGUUCAAUUCCCGUCUUCCACU
This 72-nucleotide transfer RNA is filed under the name Alosa alosa (allis shad). RNAcentral describes it as "tRNA-OTHER". The record is from RNAcentral. Lineage: Eukaryota; Metazoa; Chordata; Actinopteri; Clupeiformes; Clupeidae.